GGGGUUGUAGCUCAGUGGUUGAGUACUUGCCUCACAUUCAUGAGGCACUGGGUUCAAUCCUCAGCACCA
Molecule: non-coding RNA, 69 nt
Organism: Ictidomys tridecemlineatus (thirteen-lined ground squirrel)
Lineage: Eukaryota; Metazoa; Chordata; Mammalia; Rodentia; Sciuridae
Source: Rfam